Carassius carassius (crucian carp) is the source of this 435-nucleotide long non-coding RNA. RefSeq lists it as uncharacterized. The transcript has 2 exons. The record is from RefSeq and is a predicted model, not a curated record. NCBI's taxonomy places the organism in Eukaryota, Metazoa, Chordata, Actinopteri, Cypriniformes, Cyprinidae.
CACAGCAGCCGCACAGUAGACAACAGCUGAGCUGAACAAAGUUUUGCGAAGGGUAAAGUGUAGUGAAUAAGAGACCUUCAAGAGACCAACAUCCCUGGUCCACCACAGUAUAAAAUUUUUGCCAGGUAGGCGGAUACAUGUUGGAUAUGUUAUAGUAACGAUAUGGCUAUAGUUUCUUAUAAUCUGGAAUUGAGUUGGACAUAAUUACUUAAAUUAUAUUUCAAAAAAGUUUGUCAAAAAUACUUGACUCAUUGCUCACCUUCCCCUCUUCUCAAUUUCAUUCAUAAUCAUGUUAACCAAAUAAUACAAAUUAGCUUAUAAAACCAAACAGAAUAGCUAAAAAAGAGAAUAUAUAUAAUUGAUAUAAAAAAAGGGAGGGGGGUGCCCUUUUUCAGUUUCAGCACAUGCCCCUCAAAAGGUCUGUGCACGGCCCUG